This 1618-nucleotide long non-coding RNA is filed under the name Salvia miltiorrhiza (redroot sage). RNAcentral describes it as "long non-coding RNA (SMIL_LNC007123)". The record is from RNAcentral. Lineage: Eukaryota; Viridiplantae; Streptophyta; Magnoliopsida; Lamiales; Lamiaceae.
CGGUUUUACUGAUUUGCAAUGAUUGAGUAUAUGAUACUGAUAGAAGUGAGGUAGAAAGCAUGAGGGCAACCGAGAUGGAGGCUGCCGCCAUUAUGUUUUACUAUUAAUCUCUUCCUCUAAUUUAGUUUUGAAACUUGAAAGCCGUUAUGACAGGAUGAGUUGGGUAUCAUUUAUAUCCAGUCUUGCCAAUGCCUAGCUCAAAGCAUAUUAAAUAUCUCACUGUGAUGUUUUUCUGAAUGCUCCUGCAUCAUCUGGGUGUUAAUCUUUUAUUUUGUAUUACUUUCUACCUCCAGUUGGGCUGUGUUAGUAUAUUGUGGAAAUUAGAAGCAUCAAAAUUUGACGGAGUACUUGGGAGAAGGAUGCAUAGUUAUUGCAAAGACUAACAGAUUUUGGAAUAAUAUUAUGAGUAUUCAUUCUUACUCAUUUACCUUUUCUGUUUUUAUAUGUUAUUAGUUAUUUUCCCUUUCACAAGACUUCAAAUCAGUAUUGGACUUUUAUGAGAGGCCUACAUAAACUUCUAUAAUUCUAUUAACUUGCUUAACAAAUACUAAUUGCUGAUAGAUCUAAUUCACUGAAUGUAUGUGCUGUUAGUUGUUAAUAAUGAUUUACGCCGCAUCGUGUUUCUUCUUCUUUUGUUGUGUUUAGGGAGCAGAGCAAACCUUGCAGAAAAGAAGGUCCGAGUUUUUGUAAGUCCAUUCAUCAUCAUCAUCACCAUCACCAUCAUGUUCAUAAAUUGCAGUAAAUUGAUACUGAUAGAAAGCAACUUUAUUGUUUACUUUGUUGUUAAAUGAUUUUGUUUAAUUUGUCUUUGCUUACAGGUAUUUCUUCAUAUUGCAGCACCAAUAUUUCUCCUUCUUUUUGCCUUUUCUUUUUUUCCGGGAUUUGCUGACCGUAGUUUAGUUGCUUGCCUCAUUGCUGUAUACUUCGAUGGAAGAAAGAUUUGGAUAUGAGGUGAUAUUGUAGUUUAUACUUCUCUUGGCUUCCUAUUGAAUUUUAUGAAAUGUUCAUUUUUAACAGAAGAUGAGAUGGGGAAUUAUGCUUCUAACCUCUCACAGUAUUGUUGUAUGUUAGCAUGAGUUUGAAUAAGCAAUUGAUUAUCAAAUGAUUAUGGCUAAUGUGAAACUGAAUAGUACAGAUUUGUAUGAUCCAUUCUUAUAUGUGGCCAUGUGAAACUGUGAUUAGUUUAUUAUUAUUGUGAGUAUCUGUAACUGAAAUUAUUGGCAUUCGCUUCCCGAUUCCUUUCAGUGAGAUUUUGAUUGCUCGUGCAUAAUCAAAAUCAUGGUUUUAGUUGGAGGAUAAUAUUGUAUGGGAAUUUGAGAAUAUAUAAUAGGAAUUUGAGCAAUUUGUUCCAGAACAUGAACAACAGUUAGGGUGUUCUUGCUCUCCUUUUUUUUGUACAAACAAAUAUGUAUGUGUAAAUACAUUAUACAUACAUAUAUACUUUGGAAAGAAAGAACUCUCAAAUUUUCUAGACCAAAGAGACUAAGUAAAUAAAUAUAUGUAUUCAUUUUGGAUGUGCGUGUUCAUAAAUGCAUAUAAAUAAAUAAGUAAAUAAAUAUAUGUACUCAUUUUGGAUCUAACUUAUAUAAGUAAAAUAAUUUUUAAAUUUUAAUGUGGU